GGCAGUGGCUCAGUGGUAGAGCACUUGCCUAGCAUGUGUGAGGCACAGGGAUUGAUUCUCAGUGCCA
This 67-nucleotide transfer RNA is filed under the name Marmota monax (woodchuck). RNAcentral's name for it is "tRNA.Ala". The record is from RNAcentral. Lineage: Eukaryota; Metazoa; Chordata; Mammalia; Rodentia; Sciuridae.